RNAcentral lists this ribosomal RNA (128 nucleotides) under Chaetomium globosum. RNAcentral's name for it is "partial 5.8S ribosomal RNA". It matches the Rfam family "5.8S ribosomal RNA", at positions 30 to 154 of the family's 154-position model. Rfam says of the family: 5.8S ribosomal RNA (5.8S rRNA) is a component of the large subunit of the eukaryotic ribosome. It is transcribed by RNA polymerase I as part of the 45S precursor that also contains 18S and 28S rRNA. Functionally, it is thought that 5.8S rRNA may be involved in ribosome translocation. The record is from RNAcentral. Lineage: Eukaryota; Fungi; Ascomycota; Sordariomycetes; Sordariales; Chaetomiaceae.
GCAUCGAUUNAAAAACGCAGCGAAAUGCGAUAAGUAAUGUGAAUUGCAGAAUUCAGUGAAUCAUCGAAUCUUUGAACGCACAUUGCGCCCGCCAGCAUUCUGGCGGGCAUGCCUGUUCGAGCGUCAUU